This 84-nucleotide transfer RNA is filed under the name Nanoarchaeota archaeon NZ13-N. RNAcentral's name for it is "tRNA-Leu". It matches the Rfam family "tRNA". From Rfam's summary of the family: Transfer RNA (tRNA) molecules are approximately 80 nucleotides in length. Lineage: Archaea; Nanobdellati; Nanobdellota. RNAcentral also lists the same sequence under 1 other name. The record is from RNAcentral.
GAGCCCGUGCCCGAGAGGUCAAAGGGGUCGGGUUCAGGUCCCGAUGGGGUAGACCCUUCGGGGGUUCGAAUCCCCCCGGGCUCA